Molecule: ribosomal RNA, 445 nt
Filed under: uncultured bacterium
Lineage: Bacteria
Description: partial 16S ribosomal RNA
Rfam family: Bacterial small subunit ribosomal RNA
Source: RNAcentral
GUGAGGAAUAUUGGUCAAUGGGCGCAAGCCUGAACCAGCCAUGCCGCGUGCAGGAAGACGGUCCUAUGGAUUGUAAACUGCUUUUAUUUGGGAAUAAACUCCGGUACGUGUACCGGCCUGAAGGUACCAAAUGAAUAAGCACCGGCUAACUCCGUGCCAGCAGCCGCGGUAAUACGGAGGGUGUAAGCGUUAUCCGGAAUCAUUGGGUUUAAAGGGUCCGCAGGCGGUCUUAUAAGUCAGUGGUGAAAGCCUACAGCUCAACUGUAGAACUGCCAUUGAUACUGUAGGACUUGAAUUCGAUCGAAGUGGGCGGAAUGUGACAUGUAGCGGUGAAAUGCUUAGAUAUGUCACAGAACACCGAUAGCGAAGGCAGCUCACUAGGUCUGGAUUGACGCUCAGGGACGAAAGCGUGGGGAGCAAACAGGAUUAGAUACCCCGGUAGUCC